RNAcentral lists this ribosomal RNA (211 nucleotides) under uncultured bacterium. Its description in RNAcentral is "partial 16S ribosomal RNA". It matches the Rfam family "Bacterial small subunit ribosomal RNA", at positions 1281 to 1500 of the family's 1533-position model. The record is from RNAcentral.
GCCUGUCCCAGUUCGGACUGGAGCUGCAACCCGACUCCACGAAGUUGGAUUCGCUAGUAAUCGCGCAUCAGCCAUGGCGCGGUGAAUACGUUCCCGGGCCUUGUACACACCGCCCGUCAAGCCAUGGGAGCCGGGGGCGCCUGAAGUCCAGGACCGCGAGGACCGGCCUAGGGCGAAACUGGUAACUGGGGCUAAGUCGUAACAAGGUAAC